AUGAACGCUGGCGGCGUGCCUAAUACAUGCAAGUCGAGCGAACGGACGAGAAGCUUGCUUCUCUGAUGUUGGCGGCGGACGGGUGAGUAACACGUGGAUAACCUACCUAUAAGACUGGGAUAACUUCGGGAAACCGGAGCUAAUACCGGAUAAUAUUUUGAACCGCAUGGUUCAAAAGUGAAAGACGGUCUUGCUGUCACUUAUAGAUGGAUCCGCGCUGCAUUAGCUAGUUGGUAAGGUAACGGCUUACCAAGGCAACGAUGCAUAGCCGACCUGAGAGGGUGAUCGGCCACACUGGAACUGAGACACGGUCCAGACUCCUACGGGAGGCAGCAGUAGGGAAUCUUCCGCAAUGGGCGAAAGCCUGACGGAGCAACGCCGCGUGAGUGAUGAAGGUCUUCGGAUCGUAAAACUCUGUUAUUAGGGAAGAACAUAUGUGUAAGUAACUGUGCACAUCUUGACGGUACCUAAUCAGAAAGCCACGGCUAACUACGUG
RNAcentral lists this ribosomal RNA (496 nucleotides) under uncultured bacterium. RNAcentral's name for it is "partial 16S ribosomal RNA". It matches the Rfam family "Bacterial small subunit ribosomal RNA", at positions 29 to 507 of the family's 1533-position model. The record is from RNAcentral.